RNAcentral lists this ribosomal RNA (381 nucleotides) under uncultured bacterium. RNAcentral describes it as "bacterial SSU rRNA". It matches the Rfam family "Bacterial small subunit ribosomal RNA", at positions 362 to 758 of the family's 1533-position model. The record is from RNAcentral.
UAUUGGGCAAUGGAGGAAACUCUGACCCAGCGACGCCGCGUGAGGGAUGAAGGCCUUCGGGCUGUAAACCUCUUUCAGUAGGGAAGAAGCGAAAGUGACGGUACCUACAGAAGAAGCACCGGCUAACUGUGUGCCAGCAGCCGCGGUAAUACAUAGGGUGCAAGCGUUGUCCGGAAUUAUUGGGCGUAAAGAGCUCGUAGGUGGUUCGAUACGUCGGAUGUGAAAAUCAGGGGCUCAACCCCUGACCUGCAUCCGAUACGGUCGAGCUAGAGUUUGGUAGGGGAGACUGGAAUUCCUGGUGUAGCGGUGGAAUGCGCAGAUAUCAGGAGGAACACCGAUGGCGAAGGCAGGUCUCUGACCAAUACGACACGAGGAGCGAAA